GGAUGCGAUCAUAGCAGCACUAAAGCACCGGAUCCCAUCAGAACUCCGAAGUUAAGCGUGCUUGGGCGAGAAUAGUACUAGGAUGGGUGACCUCCUGGGAAGUCCUCGUGUUGCAUUCC
RNAcentral lists this ribosomal RNA (119 nucleotides) under Aegilops tauschii subsp. strangulata. Lineage: Eukaryota; Viridiplantae; Streptophyta; Magnoliopsida; Poales; Poaceae. The record is from RNAcentral.